This is a long non-coding RNA of Nannospalax galili (Upper Galilee mountains blind mole rat), 1688 nucleotides long. RefSeq lists it as uncharacterized. The record is from RefSeq and is a predicted model, not a curated record. The transcript has 2 exons. NCBI's taxonomy places the organism in Eukaryota, Metazoa, Chordata, Mammalia, Rodentia, Spalacidae.
UGGUGACCGCUGAUCCCUACACACACGCACACACGUAAGGAAGUAUCUCCGGUGUAGUUAAUGGUUCUGUCUUCUUCCACGUAAAUGGGAACCGGCUAAGGUUGACCUAGAAUGGUUCUGAAGUCUUUGGGUGUCUUGCUUUUAUACACAGACUUGAACCAUGGUCCUGUACCCUGCUAUCUUCCCAGCCCAUCAGCUCCUAGGAUUCUGGUGACCCCCAGGCUCCCAGAACGGGCUCAGAAACAGGCUCCAGGUGACACCAAGCAUCUAUGUAGGUAACCAUCCGACUAAGGGACUCCUUGUCUGCUUUUAAUCCUUUUUUUUUUUCUAAACUCACAGAAGCUCACCUUCCAUACUUCUAAACUCCAGCAAGCACCAACUUGUAUUUCCAUACCAAGAACGAAUUUUAUCACUGGGUUAAAAGUAAAAGGCAAAAAUAAGAAAAGCUGCUUUAGAGUCUGUCUCUUGGUGAGGUGUCAAACCUGUGAUUUUUUUUUUUUUUUCUCAACCCAACACUGGCCUUCAUCCUCAGGGGACCACAGGGGUGGUGAGCUUCCCUCAAAGGAUUCUAUCAGCCAGGUCCUUUCUUCCUUGUUCCAGGUCUUUCUGGGUUAGGAUAACUCUGGGGAAUUCUAAUCACAACCCUAUCCAAGCUCCGUCUUUACCACCAAACAAACACAUUUCACAACUCAAAGGAAUUUAAUUUGGCCUCACACUUCCAGUGGCACAAAACUCAAAAGAAGUGAAAGGCUGACGGUUCAGCUAAUGAGCAACUAGAUCUGGGCUCCCACUGCCAACUGGAUCUAAUUAAGAAGCAUUAAUACACUAAUGACGCUCAGAGAGAAAGAGCAGACAGGACACAGGGUUCCAGACAGCAGCGGGUCAAACUGCAAAGGCUCCAGGCACAACUCAAUCCCCAGACAUUCAGCACUGUACAGCAGACCUGGCCUGGCAAGAUUUCUCGAAGGAAGACCUCAUUCCAUCCUGGUGAUGGCUGUGUACACAAACAUCUAUCUGAUGGAUGAGGAGCCUCUCACAGGCCCGGGAAGAUUCCAUUUUCAACUCCAGCACAUAACUGGCUUCCCUGAACGCAGAGCUAGAUUUGGCUCUUUUCUGGGGGUCUUGGCACCGUGGCUUCCAUAUCUGAGUUGAGACAAAUACACCUGUGUGGGUUUCCUGACAGGUACAUGCCCUUCUGAGCCGAAGUGACUCUUCUGGCAGGGUGCCCAAGUCCUGAGCUACCUCCUAGCUGAGAGCCAUGGAUCCUGGAGCCCCCGAGUUGGAGAUAAAAGCUGCCUCCAUGAAAACACAGAAGAAAUUCACAUGAGGGUAUUUCUCAACCUGAGACACAGAAGGGCCUGUCCAAAAAGAAUAUAAACUUUUGAAGCCUUGAGAAUGCUCAACUGAGGAAAAGCCUGGUUCUGCCACUUCCCAGGGAGGCUUCGGGGAACGUCCCCACCAGUCUUUCCAGUCCUUUCCUAGCUCAGUUGAUCACCCAACUCUUAAUGCCUGUCAUUCUACCAACAACUUGAAUGUCACCUGCUCACCACCCAAUCCAAAUCCAUUCCCUCUUCACACAGCCCAGUUCACAACCCGGAUUUCAUUUGUUCAUUCUGAAAAGGUUUUUUUUCUUUUUCUCCUACCAGUCCACGAUUCAGGAAAUAAAGAGCAAAUUUGCUGUGACUGAC